Ceratotherium simum simum (southern white rhinoceros) is the source of this 257-nucleotide non-coding RNA. NCBI's taxonomy places the organism in Eukaryota, Metazoa, Chordata, Mammalia, Perissodactyla, Rhinocerotidae. The record is from RefSeq and is a predicted model, not a curated record.
CCCCUAUACCACUAUAACAGCAGUAUCUUUCACAGAAUAUAGAGAAAACAGAUUUUUUAAUACAGUAAACUCUCCAUUUUCCCACCUUAUCUCUGACCAAGUUAUUUAUCCCUAUUGUGACAGCAUUAUUAUAUUUUAAUUUAGAUCCUUUCAAUAUUCAGUCUUUACUGAACGAUGGGAACAGAAGCCAGGCCCUGGAAGUAUAUAUAUUUCUGGUACUGUUAUUUUUCUAUAUUUCCAUCUCUUCUUCUUUAAAA